GUCAACGGAUUGGGAGAAACAGCCCCGGUGCAGAGAUGCUUACCAUCUAACUUAGGACAAGACGCGACCGGUGUGUAUAAGUAGCAAGCAGAGUGGGGAGGAGGGGUGUUACUGAUUGGUGCUGAUUUUCUUGCUGCUUGGACGGAUGUGCUUGUGUUUCCCUUUGUGCAAAAUAUUGUUGUUGCUACUACAGUGGAGAAAAUGUGGCCCUUGGGCCAUGAUCCAUCAAGCAGGUGCAAAUGUUUCAAUGCGGCCCCUAUCUACUCCAUCCCAGAGGCUGGUCCAGAUU
Molecule: long non-coding RNA, 289 nt
Organism: Chelonia mydas (Green sea turtle)
Lineage: Eukaryota; Metazoa; Chordata; Testudines; Cheloniidae
Exons: 3
Source: RefSeq, a predicted model, not a curated record